RNAcentral lists this ribosomal RNA (488 nucleotides) under uncultured bacterium. RNAcentral's name for it is "bacterial SSU rRNA". It matches the Rfam family "Bacterial small subunit ribosomal RNA", at positions 28 to 402 of the family's 1533-position model. The record is from RNAcentral.
GAUGAACGCUGGCGGCGUGCCUAACACAUGCAAGUCGAACGAAUCAGAUAUUCAACACUGAGUAUUUAGACGAAGGAAAAAAGUUAGCCAGCGUCAAGGACGAACGAUAGAGAGUCCUUUACGCGUUCAAAAAGUGUGCUAACACAUGAUAGUCUGAAUGUUGAGUGUUGAAUAUCUGAUUAGUGGCGGACGGGUGAGUAACGCGUGGGAAACCUGCCCUAUACAGGGGGAUAGCCUCGGGAAACUGGGAUUAAUACCCCAUAAAACUCUAGUAUCGCAUGAUACAUGAGCCAAAGAUUUAUCGGUAUAGGAUGGUCCCGCGUCUGAUUAGCUAGUUGGUGAGGUAACGGCUCACCGAGGCGACGAUCAGUAGCCGGCCUGAGAGGGUGAACGGCCACACUGGAACUGAGACACGGUCCAGACUCCUACGGGAGGCAGCAGUGGGGAAUAUUGCACAAUGGGGAAACCCUGAUGCAGCGACGCCGCGU